RNAcentral lists this ribosomal RNA (406 nucleotides) under uncultured bacterium. RNAcentral's name for it is "partial 16S ribosomal RNA". It matches the Rfam family "Bacterial small subunit ribosomal RNA", at positions 30 to 526 of the family's 1533-position model. The record is from RNAcentral.
AUUGAACGCUGGCGGCAGGCCUAACACAUGCAAGUCGAACGAGUGGCGGACGGGUUAGUAAUGUCUGGGAAACUGACUGAGGGAGGGGGAUAACUACUGGAAACGGUAGCUAAUACCGCAUACCAUCCGACGUUCCCAGAAGGGAUUAGCUAGUUGGUGGGGUAACGGCUCACCAAGGCGACGAUCCCUAGCUGGUCUGAGAGGAUGACCAGCAACACUGGAACGGAGACACGGUCCAUACUCCUAAGGGAGUCAGCAGUGGGGAAUAUGGCACAAUGGGCGUAAGACUGAUGCAGUCAUGACGAGUGUAUGAAGAAGGCCUUCGGGUUGUAAAGUACUUUCCUCGGGGAGGCGUUACCCGCAGAAGAAGCACCGGCUAACUCCGUGCCAGCAGCCGCGGUAAUAC